AGAUUAACAUAAAUGCAUUUCUACAAUCAUAUAUUUUAAACCAAACUUCUGGGCACUAACAAAAUACCACAUCUUCAAGUUCAACAGAGUUUUAGCAGAAAUAAUUUAGAAGUGAAUAAUUUCAUAAAAUUUACCACAUAGCAUAGGAUGAAUAAAUUCUCAUAAAAAUAUUUGGACCUGCAUAAUCACUAAACUUUUAUAUAUAGCACAUUGCAAUGUAAUUUUCAUAUAAAGUGAAAUCAAUUUUAAAUAGAAGAUUUAAAGCUUUAUUCCAAUAAUAUAAAAGAACACAUACGUGCAUCUAUAAAAUUAACUACCAGCAUGUGAGCU
RNAcentral lists this unclassified non-coding RNA (330 nucleotides) under Hevea brasiliensis (rubber tree). Lineage: Eukaryota; Viridiplantae; Streptophyta; Magnoliopsida; Malpighiales; Euphorbiaceae. The record is from RNAcentral.